RNAcentral lists this long non-coding RNA (8145 nucleotides) under Lactuca sativa (garden lettuce). Its description in RNAcentral is "long non-coding RNA (LSAT_LNC000192)". Lineage: Eukaryota; Viridiplantae; Streptophyta; Magnoliopsida; Asterales; Asteraceae. The record is from RNAcentral.
AAAAAUACGACCCAAAAAUUUCAUUUUUCAAUAUAACCAAAAACCAUAAAUCUGAGUAUCAUAUCAUAAAACCACACACUAUGUAUCUCAACCAUAGUAAAAAUACUGUGAGGAAAUCUGUAUCAUAACUAUAACAUAUCAAAAUCAAGAAACUGAAUCAACUCCCAGGAUGAAAACUGAAGCUGUGGUGUGUGCGAUGCCAUCAUCCCGAGCUCUUCCCUUUGCUUGCGGAAGUACCUGAAACCAAAACUGAAACUGUAAGCACGAAGCUUAGUGAGCUCCCCCAAACUACCACAUACCAUACAAUACAUAUAAAACACAUACUGGGCCUUGCCCACUGCAUCGGACCGAAGUCCGGAACUAGCUGCAUCGGACCAAAGUCCGGAACUGACUGCAUCGGACCGAAGUCCGGAACUAACUGCAUCGGACCGAAGUCCGGAACUGACUGCAUCGGACCUAAGUCCGGAACUAACUGGAUCGGACCGAAGUCCGGAACUGACUGCAUCGGACCGAAGUCCGGAACUACUCAUCAUAGCAUGGCAUAACACAUAGCAACUAACAUAAACACACAUAUUGCAUUCUGCAUCGACCAUAGUCCGGAACAUAUAACACACAACGUGCUUGAAUCACGGAGACAUCAAGCAUAUUGAACUACUACUUCGGACUGAAGUCUGGAACUACUACUAACUAAAUGGGCCGGCAUUGUGGCCGUAGACCCGUUUCUAUUGGAAGGAAACUCACCUCGUGAACUGGCUGCUCUGUGUAUGGCUUUGAAAGCUAUAUGCUGCUUCUCCGGUAUCUCCCCGGCUACAAGUCCAUAAACACACUCAAUCAAUGCUAAUCACUGCACUGGGGUAAAAUGACUCUUUACCCUUGGUCAAAGUCAACUCUCCUGAUCAAAGUCAACUCUCCUGGUCAAAGUCAACCCACAGUUGACCUGACUCGCCGAGUUGGGCCGCUAACUCGCCGAGUCCCUAUUCUCACUUCUCGACCCUACUCGCUGCUACUCGUCGAGUAUGGCAUCAACUCGACGAGUUCCCUUUCGAAUCUAAAACUUAAGGCAAUCUGCAUUCGACUCGCCGAGUCGUAUGAACAACUCGACGAGUUGUUCUUCGAGCUAAGAAGAUUGCCUUGGACUCGCCGAGUUGUAUGAACAACUCGCCGAGUCCCUCCAUUACUGAGUCUGACCUCAAACUCGCUGAGUCCACUCAACCACUCACUAGUCCUACUCGGCAUCACUCAAAAAGGGAAAAUCGGGGACUCUCGACUCGACUCGCCGAGUCGAUUCCAUGCAACAACUCAAAACUCGAUUCUGCUUGAAUCCAGUGUAUAGAACUUAUAGAUCUGGACUCCCUUAACUCGAUUGGCACGUAAAGAUUCUAUCUUUACGUGCCCAUAUGCAUCCAUGAAGAUAAAAUAGCUCAAAAAGCAUAAUAAAGGCUAGAUCUAGGGUUUUCAUGCAAAGUAUCUUCAAAAAGGCAAUAGAUCCGGGCUCUACAACUCCUAAAUGAACAGAUCUAAGGAUAUCUCGACCUAUUAGGGCAUCCAUACAAUCAUAAGGCUUGAGAAAAGCAUCAAACUAGUUCUAGAAGAGUUCUAAUGGAGGUUUAAAGCAUAAAACGGGAGGAAAUCCGAAGAAUACCUCAAUGAACUCUGAUUUGCCCUUGGAUCUUUGCUCUACACCUCUUCUCCUUGCUCCUUUCUUCUUCUUCUUCUUCAAGCCUUCAAAAUUUCACACAAGAACACUUAGAUCACUCAAGGAUGGAUUAGGGUUUUCUCACAGCUCUCUGAGGGUGAAGGAGGCGAGAUUGGGGGCUAUAAGGUGGUUUAAAUAGUGAGCAACCCGGGGAUUUAGGGUUUCUUCCAGGCAGGCAGACUCGCCGAGUCCCGAAUAUGGACUCGCCGAGUCGCCGACUAACACGUGCUCGAAAUCCCGUCCCUACUCGGCGAGUCAGACUAUGAACUCGCCGAGUCCCUCUUGUAAACUUCAAAAUAAAUACCAUGGAAUCAUCAUACCGGAGACGGGUCGUUACAAUUCUCCCCCACUUAUCUCAGACUUCGUCCUCGAAGUCUGCUACGGCUGAAUCUACAAAUAUCUCUGGGUAGUGCUCUCUCAUCUCCUCCUCAGCCUCCCACGUCCACUCAGACCCCUUCCGGUGUUGCCACUGCACCUUCACUAACUGAAUUUCCUUGUUCCUCAAGGUCUUUGUCUUCCGGUCCAGAAUCGCGACCGGCCUCUCAAUAUAAUUCAGGCUGCUAUCAACCUGAAUAUCCUCUAGGGGAACGACUGCUGACUCAUCCACCAAACACUUCCUCAACUGAGACACAUGGAAAGUGUUGUGGAUCUGACUAAGCUCCUCAGGAAGAUCCAACCGAUAAGCAACCCGACCCACCCGGGCCAAAACCCUGAAAGGACCAAUAAACCUGGGACCCAACUUGCCCCUCUUCCGGAACCUGAUGACACCCUUCCAAGGUGAGACCUUCAGAAGGACCAUAUCACCCACCUGGAACUCCAAGUCUGAACGCCUCCUGUCGGCGUAGCUCUUCUGCCGACUCUGCGCAGUCUGCAGUCUACUACGGACCUGCUGGAUCAACUCGGUCGUCUUGAGCACCACCUCUGUGCUCCCAAUGACUCGCUGACCGACCUCGCCCCAACAAAUCGGGGUCCUACACUUCCUCCCAUAAAGCAUCUCAAAGGGAGGUCGAUCAAUGCUCGCAUGAUAACUGUUGUUAUACGAAAAUUCCGCUAACGGAAGAUACGUAUCCCAACUGCCACCGAAAUCUAGAACACAUGCCCUAAGCAUGUCCUCGAGAGUCUGAAUCGUCCUCUCGCUCUGCCCGUCCGUCUGAGGGUGGAAAGCGGUGCUGAAAUGGAGACGAGUACCCAUCUCGUCGUGGAACCGCUUCCAGAAUCUGGAUGUAAAACGGACAUCUCGGUCUGACACCACCGAUACCGGCACUCCAUGACGUGCCACGAUCUCACGCACAUAGAUAUCGGCUAACUUUUCUGCCGAUAUACUCUCCUGGAUCGGGAUAAAAUGAGCACUCUUCGUCAACCGAUCCACUACUACCCAUAUCGAAUCCACUCCUCGUGCGGUCCUGGGAAGCUUGGUGACAAAAUCCAUGGUGAUGUCCUCCCAUUUCCACACGGGAAUGUCUAACGGCUGCAUCUUGCCGUGAGGCCUCUGGUGCUCCGCCUUGACCUUCCUGCAGGUCAGGCAUCUCUCAACAUACCAAGCGACAUCCCGCUUCAUGCAGGGCCACCAAUAAUCGGGUCGAAGAUCUCUAUACAUCUUCGUCGCCCCUGGGUGGAUAGAAAAUCGAGACUUAUGAGCCUCGUCCAUCAACACCUGCCGUACUCCACCCCAGUACGGUACCCACACCCUCCCGUGAAGCGUCAGCAAUCCCCGACCGUCAUAAUCAAACGAAGCUACUCGUCCCACUAUCCUCUCACACUUCUGCCUCUCCUCCUUGAGGCCCUCCACCUGAGCCUCCUUGAUCCGCUCCAACAACGGAGUGAUCACUGUCAUCCUCAAACACAGAUCUCUGAUAGGGGCCGCCGACACUUUGCGGCUUAGGGCGUCGGCCACCACGUUGGCCUUCCCUGGAUGGUAAAGGAUCUCACAAUCAUAAUCCUUUAGCACAUCCAACCACCUCCUCUGCCUCAUGUUCAGACUCGGCUGAUCCAUAAGGUACCUCAAACUCUUGUGAUCCGUGUAGAUAGUACAACGGACCCCAUAAAGAUAAUGCCUCCAAAUCUUGAGGGCAAACACAACCGCCCCCAGCUCUAAAUCAUGGGUAGGAUAGUUAGCCUCGUGAGGCUUCAACUGUCUCGAGGCGUAAGCUAUCACAUGGCCUCGCUGCAUCAACACUGCUCCCAUACCUGUGAUUGAGGCAUCACAGUAGACUACGAAGUCCUCUACUCCCUCUGGCAAGGUAAGGAUCGGAGCCUCGCACAAUCUCUGUCUGAGGGUCUCGAACGCUGCCUGCUGCUCAGGCCCCCAACGAAAUACCACCGACUUCUUGGUCAGUCGGGUGAGCGGCACUGCUAUCUUGGAGAAAUCCUGAAUAAAUCUCCGAUAAUACCCUGCCAACCCUAGGAAGCUCCGAAUCUCAGAUGGAGACUUCGGGACCUCCCACUGCAUCACGGCCUCUAUCUUGGCCGGAUCUACCAAAAUACCCUUCUGGUUGACGAGGUGACCAAGGAACUGCACCUCGCGCAACCAGAACUCACAUUUGGAGAACUUUGCGAAAAGUCUCUCCCUCCUCAAAACCUCCAGCACCUCCCGCAGGUGCUCCUCGUGCUGCUCCUGCGUCUUGGAAUACACCAAGAUAUCAUCUAUGAAUACUAUCACUGACCGAUCCAGCAUCGGCCUGCACACGCGAUUCAUGAGAUCCAUGAACGCGGCUGGAGCAUUGGUGAGCCCAAAUGGCAUCACCACAAACUCAUAAUGACCAUACCUGGUCCUGAAAGCAGUCUUCUGUACAUCCUCAUCUCUAACCCGCAUCUGAUGAUAACCGGAGCGUAGAUCGAUCUUGGAGAACCAAGACGCUCCCUGAAGCUGAUCAAACAAAUCAUCUAUCCUCGGAAGUGGGUAACGGUUCUUCACCGUUACCUUAUUCAACUCCCGAUAAUCUAUACACAUACGAUGCGACCCAUCCUUCUUCCUCACAAACAGGAUCGGCGCUCCCCAAGGCGAACUGCUCGGCCGAAUGAAACCCUUGUCUAACAGCUCCUGCAGCUGUGUAGACAACUCCUGCAUCUCAGGGGGAGCUAGUCGAUACGGUGCCUUGGCUAUCGGAGCCGCACCAGGAAUGAGGUCGAUCCUGAACUCAACCUGUCUCUCAGGAGGUAUCCCCGGCAAAUCCUCGGGAAACACGUCCGGGUAGUCUCGAACAAUAGGAACAUCAUCAACUGUCGUCUUGCCCUUCUCCCGGGCAUCCAAAACGUAAGCUACAAAACCGGCGCAACCCUGCUGAACAUAGCGCCUCGCCCUUGCGGCGGAACAAAAGGUCGGUCCUCGCUGUGGCCUCUCGCCCUGAAUCACUAACUCUCCCCCACUGGGAGUGCGAACCCUCACUAGCUGAAGCUCACAAUCAAUCACCGCCCCAUUGGGGCUUAGCCAAUCCAUGCCCACAAUAACCUUAUUCCCUCGCAGGGGAAUAGGUACCAGGUCCACUGAAAACUGCUCAUCAAACAACUGAAGAGAACACCCUCUAUGCACUCUGCCGACCCUCACGGUCCUAUCAUCUGCUAUCUCAACCUCUAAUGGACAAUCCAGCUCCCCUGGAGCUCUACUAAAUCUCUUGCUAAGCGCAAGCGAUACGAAUGAUCGGGUAGCCCCCGAAUCGAAUAAUACCAUAGCAGAAAUGCCGUUCACAGAGAACGACCCUGAAUAAAACAUACAAUCAUAAGCAAUAUUCAAUCAAUAAUAAUAAAGAGAUAAAGGGAAGAUACAUACCCGUCACCACAUCAGGAGUCGCUCGCGCCUCCUCUGCUGUCAUCUGAAACGCCCUACUCUUCGCCACUGGCGCAUCAGCUCGGCCCUGCCGGCCAUCUGUAAUCCUCAAGGUAGCAGGGGCAGGUGCAGCCACCUUCCCUGCUGCAGCUAAACUCGGACACUGGGACUUUUUAUGUCCCCUCUGAUUGCACUGAAAGCAAAUCAGAUCUGAUGCUGCGACGGCAGUAGCAGGGGCCGUACAAUCCCUACUCAAAUGCCCAAUCCGACCGCACUUGUAGCAGCCGGAACUCCCUGCCUUGCACGCUCCCUCGUGCAAUCUCCCACACUUGCCACAUCGACCGUGGCUCUGCUGACUCCUAGAUCUGUGAUCUGAAACCUUGGGCUUUUUGCCCGAACCGCCUGAACCCGAAACCGCCUCCGGUUUCCUCUUCUUCUCCAUCUCGAGAUCAAUCUCCCUCUCCCGAGCCCUAGCAAUCAUAUCUUCCAGCGUUUUACAGCUGGACCGGCUCACAAACUGGCGGAUAUCGCUCCGCAACAUCUCAUGAUAACGGGCCUUCUUCAUUUCCUCAUCAGCUACAUACUGAGGAACGAGAAGAGCCCUCUCCCUGAACUUGGCGGUGAUCUCCGCCACUGUCUCUGUAGUCUGGGUGAGGUCCUGAAACUCCCUAGCUAGCUGUUGCACCUCAAUGACCGGUGCAAACUCCGCCCUGAACCUGGUAGAGAAAUCAGCCCAGGUCAUGGCGUCCAAUGCUGCAUCAUCCCCAAUGGCAUGCCCGACCUCCUCCCACCAAUCUCGUGCCCUGUCCUUCAGAAGACAGGACGCCAAUCUGACCUUGUCCCCCUCGGGACAUCUGCUAGUACGGAAAGCGUUGGCCACAUCUGCCAACCAUCUGGUGCUCGCUAUGGGGUCCCGCGCCCCAUGAUAGUCCGGGGCUCCACAUGCCCUGAACUCCCUGAAGGUAAGGGUGCGCGACCCCAUCAUGGCCGCCACCUCGGCACGGAAGGUGCCCAGUCUCUCAUCCAUCAGCUCUAGAAUCCCCUCCUUGAUCGAACCGAAGAUCACAGGAGUCUGCUCUAUAAUGAUGCGCGUAAUCUCCGAAGAAAGAAACUCUCGGGUCUGCUCAUCCAUGCGCUCAUCCCCCGAACCUGAACCUGAUCCCUCCCCGGCACCUCCGCUGCCGGCUGCUGGUCUCGAACGCAAAACCACCAUUCUGAAACACAUCACAACUACAUCAGAAAACAGAAAUAUCUUGAGGGAUCAUUGAUACUACAACUAGCUUCCUGGUCUUGUCUCAGCCUUUCUUGAUUCGAGUACGGAUCCUCUGCUUCCAGUAGUACGGGCCCAUACUACCUUCCACAUCUAUCCGUACUUUCUUCAAGAACUGCCCUGACUCCACCAAGUCACUUCUACUACUACUGAUCUCUGCUACUCUCAUCCUAGGCUUGCCCCAGGGAAACCUCAGACUCAACUCAACUAGUCCUCAGCUGCUGCAGGUCUCCUUAUAAUGCUAAUUAACCAUCACCUGAACACCAUCACAUGUGACGAAGAUCAGAUAAUCCUUCAAGUAAAAGACCCGUCCCUAUAACGGUUGGACUCAAACAAGAGCUGCGCAAUAGGGUCAGUUCCAGCACUCUGGGAUUAUUCAACCCUGAUCACAUGUGGUGUAUCGUGUUCACCUAAUGGCUAACUUCCAUCACUCAGAAUUCCCACAAAGCACGAAGCAGGCAGCAUUCGGAUAAAGGAAACAUACUCAGGCAAAACUAUUCUCAAAAUGAGAAACUGAUCUAGCAUACAGUGCUAAGCUCAUACUAUCAGGCAUAACCUAAACAGGCUAUCCUACUGCUGUCUACUCAAUACUAGCAUGCAAUACUCAUAAAGCUGUAACACAUAAAGCAGGCACAUAAGGCAUCCUCCUAGAUCCUUAGUCCUAUACUAGCAUGCUGUUCUACUGAAACUGAAACUGAACAAAUAACUUGUAUGGGUAAUUUGGGAGUACUUACUUGAGCUCGGCUGAUCGCAUGCACCACACCCUUAUCUCGUUUAAAAAUUUCUUUCUUUCUAAGUGCUUUCAAAAAAAAAUUUAGAAAACAUUUUCCUUUUUUAAAAAUCUUUCUAUGUUCCCCUUAGUUUGAGUUCAGAUACACCUGAAAGUGUAUCCGAAUCCCUCAAACCAAGGCUCUGAUACCAACUUGAAACGACCCAAAAAUUUCAUUUUUCAAUAUAACCAAAAACCAUAAUCUGAGUGUCAUAUCAUAAAACCAUACGUGAUGUAUCCCAAACAUAAUAAAAACACUGUGCGGAAAACUGUAUCAUAUCUAUGUCAUAUCAAAAUCAAAAACUAAAUCAACUCCCAGGAUAAAAGCUGAAGCUGUGGUGUGUGCGAUGCCAUCAUCCCGAGCUCUUCCCUCUGCUUGCGGAAGUACCUGAAACCAAAACUGAAACUGUAAGCACGAAGCUUAGUGAGCUCCCCCAAACUACCACAUACCAUACAAUACAUAUAAAACACAUACUGGGCCUUGCCCACUGCAUCAGACCGAAGUCUGGAACUAGCUGCAUCGGACCGAAGUCCGGAACUGACUGGGACCUUGUCCCCUGCAUCGGACCAGAGUCCGGAACUAACUGCAUCGGACCGAAGUCCGGAACUGACUGCAUCGGACCUAAGUCCGGAACUAACUGCAUCGG